RNAcentral lists this long non-coding RNA (1068 nucleotides) under Suricata suricatta (meerkat). RNAcentral's name for it is "lncRNA (ENSSSUG00005000107.1)". The record is from RNAcentral. Lineage: Eukaryota; Metazoa; Chordata; Mammalia; Carnivora; Herpestidae.
AGUCACUCUUGAAGUUACGGAAUUACAACUCCUCUGUCUUCCUUCCUCCAGACACUCUCCUGCCAACCUGAGACCCUGGCUGGCUGUCUUCCAUGACCGGCAUGCCUGCAGAGCAGCGUAGCUGCUACAGAAAGCUACGCUGUGAAGUCACAACGUUCCCUCUCGGGCUGCUUCGACCCACACCAUAGAAAGAGUCACUAUGAAGAUGCUCCAACCUCCAACCUCUCAGAGGUGACACUGCCCCAGACGGAUACCUGACUUCUCAGCCCUUCUCCUGAUCCACUGGCCUUGUGGCGAAUGUCUCUGCCUGUCCCUUAUCCAGCCAACCCACCACCUGGAAGCCGCGAAUCAGCACUUCUGGCUAACUGACUGCAGCAUCUCUCAGAAGCAUGUCGUAUAUCCUUUCUGCUUCUAAUGCCUGACUUUUAAAAAAAAAUGAUCACAAACCUUUCUGGGCUAGCCUCAGUUUUUUUUUUUUAUAAUAGUUUAUUGUCAAAUUAGUUUCCAUAUAACACCCAGUGCUUCUCCCCACAAGUGCCUCCCACCAUGACCAUCCCCCCUCCCCCCUUCCCCUCCCCCUUCAGUCCAUGGUUGUCUCCAGUAUUCGGUAGUCUCCCUUGAUCUUUGUCCCUCACUCUUCCCCGCUCUCUUUCCCCCUUCCUCUCCCCAUGGCCCCCUGCCAGGUCUGUCCUGUUAGACCUAUGAAUGCAAACAUAUGGUAUCUAUCCUUCUCUGCCUGACUUAUUUCGCUUAGCAUGACACCCUCAAGGUCCAUCCACUUUCCUACAAAUGGCCAUAUUUCAUUCUCAGUUUUGAAGUGCUAGUAUGCAGCUCUACCACUAACCAGAUCUCCAGUUAAUACCUAAUUACACUUCCCAUCCUUGUUUUGUUGCUGAUAAAUAAGCUUUCUCUUCCUUGACUUUGUAGAAUAUUUAUUUUCCAACUUGUUUUCUCUUUUGCCUUUACAUCCUCUGUUGUGCCCUGAGAAAGCACCACCAAUGCGAUUUGCCACACCUUACAGCGCAGGUCCUCUUCCUCCUCCUCCCCUCCGCCCCCCAUCUACAGCCC